GCCAUUUCUCCUCCUAAGAGUCUUCGUGUCUUAAUCCUUAUUUUUCUUUUAUUUCAAUUCAUUUAGCUCCUAGGGGAUCUCAACAGCCUUCUUAACCUCUACUCCGUGGCGGCCAGGCCCUCUCACCAAGCCCAGUGAGAAGGUCGUGCUCCCGCCCCGUGCCCAAAGCCAGUGCUACUGCUGUGAAGACCAAGUGCAGAGCCCUGGGGGAAGCAGCCAUCGCUAGCACUUUGCCUGCUGGUGCUGUUUGGCCAGUGACCCGAGAGAUUCGCUGGCAGAAGCCACCUGCCCAGAAGUAGCCCAAUUCAACACAAUGGCACAUGAAAAACCAGAUUUGCAGUUUUGGAGGAGAUCAAAAGUGAACCAUCAUAUUACUCAUGCAUGGAUGAUGGUGAUCCGUGAAGGUAAACUACCUGCUUUCAUAACAGAAGAGUGGUGUGGGUGUAUAAUGAUGACAACGGCAAUGAUGAUGACAACAGUGAUGAUGACUUUGAUGUUGGCCAUAGGAGCCAAAGUUCCUGUGACAGUGAAAUGGAUCAAGAAUCAACUGAUAGAAACACAGAGAAUGCAGACCUCCUUGUUUCAGAUGAUGAAUAAAACAGCAAGAAUUUCUAUGUGGAAGCCCUGGCACCCAGAGUGACUGUAUUUGGAGACAGAGACUUGAGGGAGGGGACCACGCUCACACGCGGUCACAAGGGUGAGAUGCUCAUCUGACAGCACUUGCAUCUCUGCGGAGAAGGGAAGAGGCUCAGGGCCACCCUCUCGGCUUCACACACCCAGGGAAAAGCCAGUGAUCACUGGGAUCCGCUGCUGAGGAGGUGGCCGUCAACACUCCAGGAAGACAGUCUUCAGUAGGAAACCAAUGCCAACAUCAC
Long non-coding RNA from Chinchilla lanigera (long-tailed chinchilla), 875 nucleotides. RefSeq lists it as uncharacterized. The transcript has 3 exons. The record is from RefSeq and is a predicted model, not a curated record. NCBI's taxonomy places the organism in Eukaryota, Metazoa, Chordata, Mammalia, Rodentia, Chinchillidae.